RNAcentral lists this transfer RNA (95 nucleotides) under Thermoplasmata archaeon. RNAcentral's name for it is "tRNA-Gly". The record is from RNAcentral. Lineage: Archaea; Methanobacteriati; Thermoplasmatota; Thermoplasmata.
GCGGCUGUGAUCUAGUCUGGUUAGGAUCGAAGCUUCCCAAGCUUCUUGCUCGGGUUCGAAUGCCCGUGGCGGGCUCGGAAAUCCCGGCAGCCGCA